GUUAGAAACCGAGACAUAUGUGUCGAGUGGUGUCGCCCGGAUCGUAGCUACACACAGCUGGAAGGAGAAAGAUGGCUUUUUCUUCUUAUUCUCUGAUUCAGGUCGACAGGUACCAAGAUGGCGGACUGCUGCCCCCUAACAUGCAGCGGCCAUGUUGUCAGUGCUGCCCCCUGACGGCCCAACCGCUCCCUGACGACAGAGUCUGUCUUACUGUUCAUUAUUGAUCGUGACGCAGGGGAACAGGACAGGAAACGUAUUAGAGAAAAGCGACUGACGUGUAAAACGUUUAUCGAUCGUUAAUUUAGUGGUUAGAACUGAAUCUGUGGCACCGACACUCCGAAACACAAGAUGGCGGCACUGCGCUUUUGGAGCAGACGUCCAACCGCCGGAAGUAAACAAGAAGAAGAAGAAGAAGAAGAAGAAGAAGAAGAAGAAGAAGUGGUGUAAACAAACAGAGCGGGUUCAGUCCGAGUUAAAUGAGAAGAUGGAGAUGUUGAGCCGUCGGACCGUGGACAGGAUCUACUCUGCGGUCUUGCUGGCAGUCGUGGUCUUGUCCUGGUCUUAUGUGAUCUACGCUAGCAGGGUCGCAUCUCACUGGCUGCUGGAGAAGAGGACCGGCCUCCUGCAGCAGGACUGAACCCAGGUAGUCCUGCUGACACAGGCUGACGGACUGUUGAAACCCUCCUGGACUUCAGACCUCUUCAGACCUGCUGGAUCAGGUUGUUGGACUGGACCUACCGGACCUCCAGAAGCUUCCCGCCCGACAGGAUCUGACCUGAAAACAUGGGAACAAACAAAGAAGUCCGUCCAAACAAAUCACUGCACAGAGACGUGAAUGUCAGACCGCAGACACAAGGAAUUAUGGGUACAAUAUAUCUGCUGUGGCUCUGAUGUGUCACGUUUGGUUGUUAUAACCUCUUAAAUAUGAGUUUUCAAAAAUAUAUUGCGAUGUUUCAUCAGAUAUGUGAACCGAAACGAUCCCGUCUGGUUUCCUCUGAUCAGAACAUUAACGUUGUGAUAAUGAGCUGUUUAUUUAAUUUAAUUAGAUUUAUAUUUUUUACACUUCUCUGUGAUUCACCUCCAUAUUAAAGACUUCAGUUGAUCAUGUUCUGCUCUCUGAUUGGCUGUUUACUGUUGGACUGGUUCUGAACAAUAACCACAGAUAUGAAUGGAAAUGUGUGUGCGUGCGUGUGCGCGCUCUGAUGUAUUCAGUAACUAACAGCUCAGACACACACGCGGCUGUGUUUUGUUCGAAGGCUGUUUGAUGUGUGUGUGUGUGUGUGUCCUCACAUAUGUAAAUGUUCUCAACAGAAUGGGUAGAUGAGAGCGGGCGAGCGAGCUAAACAGUGAAUGAGAGAGAGAGAGAGAGAGGCUCUUGAGAGUGCUGGGUCCAAA
Acanthopagrus latus (yellowfin seabream) is the source of this 1395-nucleotide long non-coding RNA. RefSeq lists it as uncharacterized. The record is from RefSeq and is a predicted model, not a curated record. The transcript has 5 exons. NCBI's taxonomy places the organism in Eukaryota, Metazoa, Chordata, Actinopteri, Spariformes, Sparidae.